UCCCUGGUGACUCUGUGGUAAAGAACCUGCCUGCAAUGCAGGAGACCUGGGUUCGAUCCCUAGCUUGGGAA
This 71-nucleotide transfer RNA is filed under the name Bos taurus (domestic cattle). It matches the Rfam family "tRNA". Rfam says of the family: Transfer RNA (tRNA) molecules are approximately 80 nucleotides in length. Their secondary structure includes four short double-helical elements and three loops (D, anti-codon, and T loops). The record is from Rfam by way of RNAcentral. Lineage: Eukaryota; Metazoa; Chordata; Mammalia; Artiodactyla; Bovidae.